GAUGAACGCUGGCGGCGCGCCUAACACAUGCAAGUCGAACGAUUAAAGCACCUUCGGGUGUGUAUAAAGUGGCGAACGGCUGAGUAACACGUGGGCAACCUGCCCCUCUCAUUGGGAUAGCCACGGGAAACCGUGGAUAAUACCGAAUACUUCGGGACUUCCGCAUGGAAGACUCGAGAAAGCUCCGGUGGAGAGGGAUGGGCCCGCGGCCUGUUAGCUUGUUGGUGGGGUAAUGGCCUACCAAGGCAAUGAUGGGUAGCUGGGUUGAGAGACCGACCAGCCAGAUUGGGACUGAGACACGGCCCAGACUCCUACGGGAGGCAGCAGUGGGGAAUCUUGCACAAUGGGCGAAAGCCUGAUGCAGCGACGCCGCGUGCGGGAUGAAGGCCUUCGGGUUGUAAACCGCUUUCAGCAGGGACGAGGCGAAAGUGACGGUACCUGCAGAAGAAGCCCCGGCUAACUACGUG
RNAcentral lists this ribosomal RNA (467 nucleotides) under uncultured bacterium. Its description in RNAcentral is "partial 16S ribosomal RNA". It matches the Rfam family "Bacterial small subunit ribosomal RNA", at positions 28 to 507 of the family's 1533-position model. The record is from RNAcentral.